This is a non-coding RNA of Danio rerio (zebrafish), 117 nucleotides long. NCBI's taxonomy places the organism in Eukaryota, Metazoa, Chordata, Actinopteri, Cypriniformes, Danionidae. The record is from Rfam.
UGCCACAGCCAUAUCACCCUGCAGCCCAAGACCGGUUACUCACUGAAGCUAAGCAGGGCUGAGCCUGGUUAGUACCUGGAUGGGAGACCACUAGGGAACAGUAGGUUGCUGUUGGAA